AAACUUCCAGGUAAUAAGGUUCCUUUAGCAUGGAGAUGAAUAUAUUUGCCACCCUAUGUAAACCAGGUGUCAUCUUGCACCAUUUCUUAUUUAAUACAUUAAUUUUUUGAGCUUUAGUAUCUUAUUCUCAUUACCUGCCAUCUUAUAUCAUAAUGCGAUUGCUACAACAAUUCAUGGAAAACUAAUCAAUUGUUGUAGUGGUAAUGGCUGCUGAAGCUCAUUAGUAUCACUUAUAAACUAAUAACAGAAUCUUUGAUCUUUUAGAAAAGUAGGGGAAAAAAGCUCCUGCUAAGGUAGCUGGCAAAGGCAAGGCUAAAGGUGGAAGAACCGUUGUCUAAUAUAAAUGAUCUCUUCAAGACAGUUACUGGUGAAACGCAGAUCACCAUAUUUGCGAUUUGCGAUAUAAAGAAGGCAGAACCCAUGACCCACGAUUGCUGGUCGGAGAUGAAGUUUUCCUCUAAAGCAUUCUAAACUCUACCGAGACUGUAGCAAGAGGAAGGGUCCAAAGCUUGGACCCAAAUGAUCUAAUUGGUGGUAUAGAGAUUGGACCAGAAUGGUGUGAGGUAAAUGUUCAAGUACCAAUAAAAAAAGAUGUAAACUUGGUAAGACCAUAUGGUUUAUUUUCUACAAUUCAAGAUUGUAUUGGUGCAUCCUUCGCAUAGCCCUAUCCAUUCAUCUCGGUAGUCCAUGAGGAUUGAGGACGCAUGAUGACUCAAGAUUUUAUGCUUCUUAUUUCUUUAAUUGCUUUUAAUUUCUUUGUUAAAUGUUAAGACUUUAUGUUAGAUAAUGUUAUAACUUAUUUCUGGUUAGUGUUUUUGUUGUGAACAUGCUUAUUUGAAAUAUAAUGAAGUUUUAUUUCUU
RNAcentral lists this long non-coding RNA (861 nucleotides) under Helianthus annuus (common sunflower). RNAcentral describes it as "hypothetical non coding rna". Lineage: Eukaryota; Viridiplantae; Streptophyta; Magnoliopsida; Asterales; Asteraceae. The record is from RNAcentral.